Molecule: long non-coding RNA, 1421 nt
Organism: Nothoprocta perdicaria
Lineage: Eukaryota; Metazoa; Chordata; Aves; Tinamiformes; Tinamidae
Exons: 4
Source: RefSeq, a predicted model, not a curated record
UAAGGAAAAGUAGACAGGAUUGUUUUUAAGCAUGUAAUGGCUGUAGGUAAGGCAGGUUUUACAGAAAGAAGGAAGAUUGGAGGUUAAUGCACUGGAAAGCUUGUGGUGUACAAGUAAUGUGAAAGAGAGGUGUAACACAUGCCUACUGUGAAGAUACCAUUAGGUCCAAAAUGGAAACCAUAUCCAUGGACUCAAAGAUUUAACAGACAUAUGCAUGUUCAAUAAAGUGGUAAUAAUCAGAUUUGGCAGCAAACAAGCUGGAUUUUUAUAAAAGCCCAAACUCUUCAUGACAUAGCUACCAGCUGUACCGAACUUUUUUCAAAGGUUCAUCUGUUUUCCCUCAGGAAAAGCCUAGGAAAAGAAACAGACCUAGUGGGAUGACCUAAAGUCAACAGAUCUGGUCUUCUGCAAAUUGAAUAACUGUACAAUACUUUGCUUUAGUGGCUCAUAAUCACAAUAUUUUCCUCCAACCAUUAUAAUUCCAUUAUAAUUUAAAAGGGAAAUGAUGAGAAAGUAAAAAAAGAUGAUAAGCAUUUUUAUAAGUGAACCAUUAACACUUAAAAUAAAAUUAAAAAUGACUUUUCAACCACAUAAUUUGGGACAUUCUGAGUUGCACGAGCAUCUUGAUGCAUUUAAAUUGGAAGUCUUCAUAAGAGAGGCUGAGUCUUAGAAGAGAGAGUAUAUCUUUCCAUUUUCCUCGGAUAGUAUAUUUUUCCAUCUUGCCAUUAAUUUCCAUGGAAGACCACCUCCUCAUGUAUUAUUGUCAUGCUAUCUUGAAAAGUACUUAGUACGGAAACCAGAAAAAUAGUGAGUUAUUUUCUAAUUGUAUUGUAACUCUUAGCUCAAAUCAAUGAGUUAAACAUUAACAUUAGGUCUGAGUUUCACCUGUAGCUUCAGGAUGUCUACACUAGAAAAGAGAAGAGUUGAGAUGUCAUCUGCUGUCCAAUGACUUCUGACCUCUUCCAAGGACUUCUAAAACUCUUCUAAAUAUGCAAUAGUUACCAAACUCCUGCAGAGUGAAGACUCACUGAAGACUCCAGAUACUCUGGUGAAUCUGCCACAAAUCUUGUCUGGCAUCCUGGGCUUGAGGGUAAUUUACCUUUUGAAUUGAGCUCCAACUAAAAAUUUCUUUGCAGAAAGUUAAACCAAGAAGAAAGUGGAAGUGAGUCUUGAAAUUCCCACAUUGCCAUUCAGAGAGUUCAUUAUAAAAUACAGCUGGUAGUCACAAGCAUAUACUUCAUCUGGUACAAUACACUAUGGUUUUAAUUCAAUACAGUAAUGAGUUAACUGAUGUCAAUAUAAUUGCUGUAACGGAUUUCUUACUGUAUGCUUUCUACAGAAUUUAUAGAACUUGAUUCUUAAGUUAGCUAUUAAUAGUCCCCCAAAAAAGCUUUUGCUACUUGUAUUUGAUCAAGUGAAUA